RNAcentral lists this ribosomal RNA (433 nucleotides) under uncultured Sphingomonadales bacterium. RNAcentral's name for it is "bacterial SSU rRNA". It matches the Rfam family "Bacterial small subunit ribosomal RNA", at positions 1 to 477 of the family's 1533-position model. The record is from RNAcentral. Lineage: Bacteria; Pseudomonadati; Pseudomonadota; Alphaproteobacteria; Sphingomonadales.
UAGUGAGUUUGAUCCUGGCUCAGAACGAACGCUGGCGGCAUGCCUAACACAUGCAAGUCGAACGAGACCUUCGGGUCUAGUGGCGCACGGGUGCGUAACGCGUGGGAAUCUGCCCUUGGGUUCGGAAUAACUCAGAGAAAUUUGAGCUAAUACCGGAUAAUGACGUAAGUCCAAAGAUUUAUCGCCCAAGGAUGAGCCCGCGUAGGAUUAGCUAGUUGGUGGGGUAAAGGCCUACCAAGGCGACGAUCCUUAGCUGGUCUGAGAGGAUGAUCAGCCACACUGGGACUGAGACACGGCCCAGACUCCUACGGGGAGGCAGCAGUGGGGAAUAUUGGACAAUGGGCGAAAGCCUGAUCCAGCAAUGUCGCGUGAGUGAUGAAGGCCCUUAGGGUUGUAAACCUCUUUCAGUACCGACGAAGCGAAAGUGACGGUA